GGAGGGUAUAGCUCAGUGGUAGAGCUCUCGAUUGCAGAUUGAGAGGAAUCUGGUUCAAACCCGUGUGUCCCCU
This is a non-coding RNA of Trichonephila clavipes, 73 nucleotides long. The record is from the annotation of a GenBank genome assembly. NCBI's taxonomy places the organism in Eukaryota, Metazoa, Arthropoda, Arachnida, Araneae, Nephilidae.